RNAcentral lists this ribosomal RNA (498 nucleotides) under uncultured bacterium. Its description in RNAcentral is "partial 16S ribosomal RNA". It matches the Rfam family "Bacterial small subunit ribosomal RNA", at positions 28 to 523 of the family's 1533-position model. The record is from RNAcentral.
GAUGAACGCUAGCGGCAGGCCUAAUACAUGCAAGUCGGACGGGAUUGAGAAGCUUGCUUUUCAUGAGAGUGGCGCACGGGUGCGUAACACGUAUGUAACCUACCCAUAUCAGGGGGAUAGCCUCUCGAAAGAGAGAUUAAGACCGCAUAACAUUAUUGAAUGGCAUCAUUUAAUAAUCAAAUAUUUAUAGGAUAUGGAUGGGCAUGCGGAACAUUAGCUAGUUGGUAAGGUAACGGCUUACCAAGGCUACGAUGUUUAGGGGAUCUGAGAGGAUGACCCCCCACACUGGUACUGAGACACGGACCAGACUCCUACCGGAGGCAGCAGUAAGGAAUAUUGGUCAAUGGACGAAAGUCUGAACCAGCCAUGCCGCGUGCAGGAAGACGGCCCUAUGGGUUGUAAACCGCUUUUGCAGGAGAAUAAACCUCGAUACGUGUAUCGAGCUGAAUGUACUCUGAGAAUAAGGAUCGGCUAACUCCGUGCCAGCCGCCGCGGUAA